AGACAACAACAACAGAGACUGU
RNAcentral lists this small RNA (22 nucleotides) under Arabidopsis thaliana (thale cress). RNAcentral's name for it is "ATSL301120". Lineage: Eukaryota; Viridiplantae; Streptophyta; Magnoliopsida; Brassicales; Brassicaceae. The record is from RNAcentral.